RNAcentral lists this ribosomal RNA (377 nucleotides) under uncultured organism. Its description in RNAcentral is "partial 16S ribosomal RNA". It matches the Rfam family "Bacterial small subunit ribosomal RNA", at positions 526 to 896 of the family's 1533-position model. The record is from RNAcentral.
GUAGGGGGGCGAGCGUUGUCCGGAUUUAUUGGGGCGUAAAGAGCUCGUAGGCGGUUGCGUAAGUCGGGAUGUGAAAACUCAGGGGCUCAACCCUGAGAUGCCAUUCGAUACUGCGCUGACUCGAGUCCGGUAGGGGAGCAUGGAAUUCCUGGUGUAGCGGUGAAAUGCGCAGAUAUCAGGAGGAACACCAGUGGCGAAGGCGGUGCUCUGGGCCGGUACUGACGCUGAGGAGCGAAAGCAUGGGUAGCAAACAGGAUUAGAUACCCUGGUAGUCCAUGCCGUAAACGUUGGGCACUAGGUGUGGGGCCUACUUAACGGGUUCCGUGCCGUAGCUAACGCAUUAAGUGCCCCGCCUGGGGAGUACGGCCGCAAGGCUA